AUUUAGCUCUGAUCGAAGUGGAAAUCUUAUAAGCCGUCUCAUCCCAAAAGACGAGAGGGACAUAAGAUUGCAACGGAAAGUGGGACGAUAC
RNAcentral lists this small RNA (91 nucleotides) under Flavobacterium sp. 1. RNAcentral's name for it is "Flavo-1 RNA". It matches the Rfam family "Flavo-1 RNA". Lineage: Bacteria; Pseudomonadati; Bacteroidota; Flavobacteriia; Flavobacteriales; Flavobacteriaceae. The record is from RNAcentral.